RNAcentral lists this ribosomal RNA (365 nucleotides) under uncultured bacterium. RNAcentral's name for it is "bacterial SSU rRNA". It matches the Rfam family "Bacterial small subunit ribosomal RNA", at positions 32 to 377 of the family's 1533-position model. The record is from RNAcentral.
AAUCAACGCUGGCGGCGUGCCUCAGACAUGCAAGUCGAACGCGAAAGUCCCCUUCGGGGGACAAGUAGAGUGGCGCACGGGUGAGUAACACGUAGGUAAUCUACCUUUGGAUGGGGAAUAACAACCGGAAACGGUUGCUAAUACCGCAUAAUGCAGCGGCACCUAAUGGUGACAGUUGUUAAAGCGGGGGAUCGAAAGACCUCGCGUCUAAAGAGGAGCCUGCGGCGGAUUAGCUAGUUGGUAAGGAAUGGCUUACCAAGGCUACGAUCCGUAACCAGCCUGAGAGGGCGGUCGGUCACACUGACACUGACAUACGGGUCAGACUCCUACGGGAGGCAGCAGUCGGGAAUUUUGGGCAAUGGGCG